RNAcentral lists this non-coding RNA (29 nucleotides) under Rattus norvegicus (Norway rat). Lineage: Eukaryota; Metazoa; Chordata; Mammalia; Rodentia; Muridae. The record is from RNAcentral.
UCUCAAAUGAGCCUCCUUUAAGAGGCCUG